Molecule: unclassified non-coding RNA, 259 nt
Filed under: Glomeraceae sp.
Lineage: Eukaryota; Fungi; Glomeromycota; Glomeromycetes; Glomerales; Glomeraceae
Description: partial contains 5.8S ribosomal RNA and internal transcribed spacer 2
Rfam family: 5.8S ribosomal RNA (bases 1-71)
Source: RNAcentral
GUGAAUCAUCGAAUCUUUGAACGCAAAUUGCACUCUCUGGUAUUCCUGAGAGUAUGCCUGUUUGAGUGUCAGUUUAAAUAAAAAUCGGAGUGUUUGCUCCCUUUCAUGGUGACGCACCGGAUUUGAGUCGUCUUGCCUUCGGUUAAGUGACCUAAAAUUUUGCAUGAUUUUUUUCUAACGUAUUUAAAUUAUUUUACGUACAUUUGCGAUAUCGAAUACAAGGUGUGGUCAUCCUCAUGUUUCGCGCCUAUAAUUUUUC